AUUGAACGCUGGCGGAAUGCUUUACACAUGCAAGUCGAACGGUAACAGGUCUUCGGAUGCUGACGAGUGGCGAACGGGUGAGUAAUAUAUCGGAACGUGCCCAGUCGUGGGGGAUAACGUAGCGAAAGUUACGCUAAUACCGCAUACGAUCUACGGAUGAAAGCGGGGGAUCGCAAGACCUCGCGCGAUUGGAGCGGCCGAUAUCAGAUUAGGUAGUUUGUGGGGUAAAGGCUCACCAAGCCAACGAUCUGUAGCUGGUCUGAGAGGACGACCAGCCACACUGGAACUGAGACACGGUCCAGACUCCUACGGGAGGCAGCAGUGGGGAAUUUUGGACAAUGGACGCAAGUCUGAUCCAGCCAUUCCGCGUGCAGGAUGAAGGCCCUCGGGUUGUAAACUGCUUUUGUACAGAACGAAAAGGCUCUUCCUAAUACGAGGGGCUCAUGACGGUACUGUAAGAAUAAGCACCGGCUAACUACGUGCCAGCCGCCGCUGUAACAC
RNAcentral lists this ribosomal RNA (501 nucleotides) under uncultured bacterium. Its description in RNAcentral is "bacterial SSU rRNA". It matches the Rfam family "Bacterial small subunit ribosomal RNA", at positions 30 to 526 of the family's 1533-position model. The record is from RNAcentral.